CAAGGGUCUCAUAAUCCUAUUGGUUCAGGUUUCAAAAUGACACCAAUCAGGUUGUACCUAGAGGACAGAAUCCCACUAUAAUUAAGCUGUGGAGCUCCUAUAUGGAAUCUGGAGAGACAGUGUCAGCUAAGAAGACAAAGUAAACAACAUAGAACCGCUGAUGUUCUAGCUGAAGCAGAGAAGCUAAUGAUAAAGCAGGCUGGAAGUGUUGGGAAAGCAAAAGUUAAUUCUACAAUUUUUCUGCUGAUUCCUGCCCACAUAUAGAUUUUGUAGGUGUGACAUCGCAGCCCACACAGCCCACCUGCUCCAGUCUCUCUUCCUUCUUUAACAACUGGUGUUUGGAACAGCGGUGCUGACUCUGGAGGAGUUAGCGAAGCGUGAGGCAGCCAAAGAAGCCUGGGGUACCCAGUCUGUGCAGUUCAAUUUAGAGCCAGCUGGCCAUGCAAUGAUAGCAAGACCACCUGCCCAUCAGAAAGAAGGUUG
This 483-nucleotide long non-coding RNA is filed under the name Cricetulus griseus (Chinese hamster). RNAcentral's name for it is "lncRNA (ENSCGRG00015034365.1)". The record is from RNAcentral. Lineage: Eukaryota; Metazoa; Chordata; Mammalia; Rodentia; Cricetidae.